This 782-nucleotide ribosomal RNA is filed under the name Planctomycetes bacterium SCGC AAA166-J11. RNAcentral's name for it is "bacterial SSU rRNA". It matches the Rfam family "Bacterial small subunit ribosomal RNA", at positions 70 to 859 of the family's 1533-position model. Lineage: Bacteria; Pseudomonadati; Planctomycetota. The record is from RNAcentral. RNAcentral also lists the same sequence under 1 other name.
GUUGGUUAGCUUGCUAACCGGCGGACAGCGGCGGAAGGGAGAGUAACGCGUGGUUAUGUGCCCUGAAGACCGGGAUAGUGUUGGGAAACUGGCAGUAAUACCGGAUAAUAUCUUUGGAUCAAAGGUGUGAUUCCGCUUCAGGAUCGGACCGCGUACUAUUAGCUUGUUGGUGGGGUAAUGGCCCACCAAGGCUCAGAUGGUUACCGGGUGUGAGAGCAUGACCCGGCUCACUGGGACUGAGACACUGCCCAGACAUCUACGGAUGGCUGCAGUCGAGAAUCUUCGGCAAUGGACGAAAGUCUGACCGAGCGACGCCGCGUGCGGGAUGAAGGCCCUCGGGUUGUAAACCGCUGUCAGUUAGGAGGAAAUCUAUGAGGGCACUCUCUCAUAGUUGACCGAUUUUCAGAGGAAGGACGGGCUAAGUUCGUGCCAGCAGCCGCGGUAAGACGAACCGUCCAAACGUUAUUCGGUAUCACUGGGCUUAAAGCGUGCGUAGGCGGCUUGAUAGGUGAGAUGUGAAAGCCCACGGCCCAACCGUGGAAUUGCGUUUCAAACCCUCAAGCUCGAGGAAGAUAGGGGUGAUGGGAACUUAUGGUGGAGCGGUGAAAUGCGUUGAUAUCAUAGGGAACACCGGUGGCGAAAGCGCAUCACUGGAUCUUUUCUGACGCUGAGGCACGAAAGCUAGGGUAGCGAACGGGAUUAGAUACCCCGGUAGUCCUAGCCGUAAACGAUGAGCACUGGGUUGAGGGAACUAUCACAUUCUCUCGGCCGUAGCGAAAGCG